AAAUACGUACGGAGGCCGAAAAAAUUCUUGGAUUGCGUCCGGGUGCUACUGCAAGCAUCCGAAGUGGUCGUAACAAUGUUUCUGGUGCUCAAGGGAGUACCAGCCCUGGAGGAUAUCCCAACAACCGACCUGGUUCAGGGGGCAUGAUGCCUGUAAUGCCAGGAACAAGGAAUGUGAAACCCCGUCUUUAUUUUUACGUAUUUUUGUAAUAUUAUCGAACGUGUGAAUUACCAAAUUACCCUUGAAGCGUGAACAUUGACUUUGUGUUUUCGAAACGUCGAACGUUUUCUUGGAUAUUUUCAUGUUUCGUCUUAAGUAGCCUUAAUUUAUGAGCCAAUGAGAACCACUUUGGAUCCUCAUCCCCUUGUUCUUCCCCCUUACCCGUGAGUCCUUCCCCCUUUUUUCUUUUACUUUCUGUCAACUUUUUCCCUUGCUAACUCUCACUUCUUUCUACACUCUCCCUCUCUUCCUCUCGGCUUGCUUUAGAACCACCAUCUCCGAGGGUUUUACACACACAAACAACAACACACAGCAACGCACAACAAUCUUGGCACCACCACCAUCACCCCUGUGAACUCAGAAACGAAGAAAAACCCUCUAAACCCUUCCAAACUCGCUGCACAAUGCACUCACUAUUCACUGAGCUUUUCUGAUGAAUUUUCAUGUUCUCCGGCGAUGGUAAGCCUCGAACCUCGUCCAAAAGUUGUAGAUCGUGUCUUGGUGUAUGUUUAGAAGAAGUUUUGAGAAGUUUUGGUGAUGUCUGGACGUAGGAAACUCACGGGGAAAACUUUCUCAGUUUUCAGGAGAGGACCACCACUUUCGAGGCAUUUUCAGCCAAACCACGACGAGUUAGCCAUCGAGAAAUGUGCCAUUCUCUUCAUCUCGUUGAGAAGUAUGAUUUUUUUUUUGAAUCACUUGAUUUCGUUGAGUAUUGAUGAAGUUAUAAACGUUUAAAAUUUACCCAUAAUCCGACGAGUUUCGCAGAUUCUCAAUAACCAACCAACUUUCAAGCCAUUUUCCAAUCAACUUUGGCCACUACUUGGUCCCCACUUGGUAUGAAUUUCUUCUCCACAUUCCUAACAAUAUUUUGGCUUUGAUCACUCGAUUUGGACAUGUAUUGAGCUUGGACUGGGCUCUUGAAGUUGGGGGAAAUAUCUGGGAUUUUUCCACUUUUGAAGGGUCGCGCAUAGGUGCCUGCCAUGGCCAGCGUGUGGAGCACACGCGCCUCCGUCGAAGCUAUUGUGCUCCGCCGUUGUCCACGACAGCGUCGACAACUUUUCCGGUUGCCUUUCCGACAACCAAUCCCAGCGUGUGGGGGAACCCGAGGUCACUCCUUAGGUUUUUCGACGUCUUGAAUCCAUUUACGACGUCUAUUUUCAAAAAUUCAAUCAUUUUGGUAGAGUUUUAUUAAUUUGUCCCCUUAUGUGCUUAGGUGCAUUUGAUAAUGACGUUUCCGUCCUCCCUAAUUCGAAGGGCUCUUUGACAACAGAGUAUCUGUGAGUGAACCUCUUCUAAAAUGUAUGAUUUUAUUAUUAGAAAUGCAUGAUUUUAUGACUACGUUUUAUGAAACGUUUAUGAGUAAAUCGGAUUUACGCUUUAAUAAUUAUCAUGCUUUAUUGAAUUUAUGUUUACUGAGAUAUUUAUGUAUAUGAAUUAUGAUAUGAUUUUGAGUUAUUGAGCUUCGAUAAGACAUAUUUUGGAAAAAUUAUGUUUAUAGUUUUCUAUGCUUACAUAUGGAUAAUGAUAUUUAUAUAUGUCUUCGGGCGGGUAAUGAAGGGCCUACGAAUGAAUCAUAAUUAUAUAUGGCUUCGACUGAGCGAUGUAGUGGCUUAAGUCGGAAGAUAUUUAUAUAUGGCUUCGAUCGGGAGAUAUAGGGCCUUUGAGCGAUUAUGAUACCACUACUAAACACACUAUAUACGAUAUAUGUUUUAAAAAGGUUUUAUGACAUGCUAAGUUUUCGAAAAACCUAUUCCUUAUUGGUAUGUUGAAAAAUAACUAUUUUAGUAUUAUACAUAUAUCACCACUCAUGUUUUAUUUUAUGCCCCUUCAUGACCUAAGAACGAGGCAUUCGACCUGAGAUACGAGGCAUUCCCAUAUCAGUUUCUCUUGUAAUAACACUUUCUAAUAUUCUUUAUGCUUGUACUUUGAAUUAGUAGUAUGCUCUGAAUAUAUUAUGCAUUAUCACUUCUAAAUUAUUGGCAGUUAAAUAUUAUAUUUUAUUAAGACUUGUACUUGAUUGUUAUAUUACAUUGUUACGCGCAAAAUUUAUAUGCAUGUUUUACAUGUACUUAAUAUAUGUAUUUAUGAAAUAGCUUGCAUCAUCUUCGGAUGUCGGCCAACAUAUCAUGUUGUCCUUAAGACACGGGGAUCGGGGUGUGUCAAGGAAGAUGCCUGGGAUGCCUGGAAUGGAUAAUGACAAUUGGGAGGUUCAAAGGACACGGUCAAUGCCAAAGGGUGAUGCCAGACCCCAACGCAGCUGUAAGUUGUGCCGAGGUCGAUGUCGACGGCCUUUCCUUCCGUCUUGGCCGCCAUUGAAACUGCUUAAACAAAGAGACUGCUUAUAAAACAGAGCUCGAAACUUACAAACAAAAUUUGGACAAAAAUAAAAGAUUUCUGAGAAUUUGAACGCUUUCUAAGAUUUUUUCUGAUCAAAUCUGAGAUUGGAUUAGGAAAAGAGGUAGGGGUUCGUCAAUUUUUAGUGUUUUGAAAGAUUAUUCGAGAGAAAUGGACAAGAAUGUAAAGGAGAGGCGGUGGAAAGCUUACAGGUGGUUCGGGAGUGUUCUGGAAUUUUUUGAGGGAAGGUUUGGCUCGGGAAGGUGGGCUUGACUUGUGUGGAAUAUACGUGGGUGCCAUCGUUUUCGGUAAAUUGGCGGGUGAGUGGGUGCUAUUUUGGGAAUUGGAUCAUCUUCGAGACAAACCGUUGGAAUUCUUAGAAUCAUUUUACACAGAUUGUUGAUUCAACUGCUACAAUUAUUAUAAUUUUGAAAAAAAAAUCUUUGUUCGUUGAGUUGAAUUUCGAUACAACGAUCAUGUUAAUGAAUUCCGAGGGUAUGCCUCGAAGAGGAUCCAAUUCCGUAACGGUGGGGCAAACUAGUGAUGCGGUGGCAGGUUGGCUGCCGUGUCUGUGUGCACGUAGCGUGGGUGAUUUUUUAGUGGGUAUUGUUUGGGCCAGCUAUGUGUCGUUUGUGUUUGUUAUUUUGUUCUGGUCCCACCUUGUGAGUAUGGGCUAAUCUUUAUCAAUAGCCCAACAUAAAUUUAAAAUAAAUUGAUGGCUUGUUUAGAAAAUACUUUAAAAGACUGAAAUUAUUUUUAGAGAAAAUAUUUUAAAUUUAAUUGUUGGUAAAAAUAUAAUUUUAUUCUUUAAAAGUACUUGAAGUGUUUCUUGUAAGAAUUACCAAUUAUGUGUUUAUUACAUAAAGUACUUUAAAUAUUUUUGAAACCCAAAACCAAUUUAUUUAAAAGCGAUUCUAAUCAUUUAAAACACUUUCCAAACGACCUGAAAAUCAGAGAAAACCUAUUGUUAUAUAGAAGGUGUAUUGGGGGUGAAUUUAUUUACUCAAUUUCUUGGAUUUUCUGAUUUAUUUUUUAAAAAUUCUCAAACUUCUAUGCUUAAGCAGAAAUAUAAAAUCAAUACUCCAAUUAGAAAGAUGCAAUUGAUGAUGAAUUAGGUUAGAAAAGAAUAAGAGUUUAAUUAUAUUGUUUAUUCUUAAAUUUUGUUUUUUAAAUCGAUCACAGUAGACGUUAUAGGGCUCGUUUGGUAGUGCUUUUAAAAUUAUUGAAACAUUUUUUAAAAAUCAAUCAAUAGUAAAAAUGCAAGUGACUCCUGAAAACACUUCAGGUGUUAUUGAAAUCCAAAAACAAAUUAGCCGAAAAUGCUUUCAAUUAAAUUCAAUGCACUUCCAAACUACCAUAUGAAAUGAUGUGUAAUUUUGGCAAAAAAAUUUCAAUUGGGCAGUUCUUCUAGCUUAAUUUUUUACACAAAAUGAGAAUCACUCGCGAUUCACGAAUGAUCUGGUCGGACAUCCUCCACUUUUAGGUAUGUUAAGUAAAUUUGAUCCGACCUUUAUAUGAAUCAUGAUGAGUAAUUUUGUGGUUAUACAAAAAGAAGCAAAGCACCCAAAAAGCCGAAAGUACACGAGAGAGAGAGUAUUCGACGCAAGUAAUUAGGCGAAAGGACACAUCCGUCAUUUCACGAAAAGUGCACGCCACUCUACAUCCUAGCGACGACACGACAAGUGAACAACAACGUAAUCACAGUCGCCCGACAUUACCAAACCAAAAAAAAAACUCGAACCAAAAAUCUGCGGCUGCAAAAAUAAAAAAUAAAAAUGGCAAAUGCAACUGCGACGCGCACACUCUCUCACUUCACCAACGAAAGGAAGGGUUUUUAGCCUGUCCACCGCCCCCACGGACCCUUUUCUCUCUCUCUCUUUUCUGAGUUUCUCUCUCUUAGCCUCCGAAGAGAGAAAACCAAACCCGACCAGGAAAUCCGAAUCCGAAUAUUUGGAUCCGUUUUUUCGUUCAGGGAUUUAAAUCCAAUUCAACAGGAUUCAGCGUCUGUUUUCGCUGAGUCUUUCGUUGUUGUUGUUGUUGUUCUUUGAUCGGACGGCUGAGAUUCUUCAGGAGAUUAAGAUCGAGGUAUGCAGCAGGGUGAUCAACCGGUGUUGAACUUGAGACCUGGUGGCGGUCGCGGUAGACUCCUUGGUCCUCGCUUCGACUCCUCAUCCGCCGCUUCCGGCUCGUCGUCUUCAUCGUCGUCUUCUUUGGCUUUCGGUUCCUUUUCUUCUGAUCUCCCUCUCCUCCGUCCCCAUGGCGGCGCUCCCCCUAAUUUCUCUAUCAAGGUAUACUUAUCAAAUCUCUCCACUUUGUCUGGAUCUGGGUUUGCAUCUGGAUGUAUGAUUUGAUUUGAAUUUGUUGAUUUAGCAAUAACAAGCCUGUAAAGUUUGCGUCUUUGGAUUGAAUUGUGUCCAAACAAAGAUGGGUUCUCUGAGAUAAUUGGUGUUUUAAUGCGUUAAUGCGUUGUUCAGACUAUUUUGUAUCGAUUUUGAAUGUAAUUUGAGCAACCCUUUAAUGAUUUUAACUCCCCCUACCGACCCUUGAAACUCGUUUGAGUAGAUGAAAAUCUUUGUUUAUAUCAUAAGGAGGUUUUGUUGCAAGUAAUUUUAAGAAGCCAAUGUCCUAAUUCUUGGCGGGGCGCUUAGUUUGUGUGCCUGCUGUAAAUAUGGACGAACAGCAAUAUGUAGGCUUUAGGUGAGCAAGCAUUGAGUUGUAGGCUGCCCAUAAAGGACCUACAAACAUCUGAUUCAUCCAAUGCUGCAUAAUUGGGAGUUGGCUACUUUGCAAUUUGAAGCUUGUGUUUGCACUGUAAUGCGGCCAGACUUUCUGAACUCUUUUUUCUUGACAGGCUGGAGACGCACGGUUUGAGGGUCGUGAGCGAGUGAAGUACACCAGAGACCAGAUCUUACAGCUUAGAGAGGUAUUCAAUUUUGGAAUGCAUUUCAUGUUGAACAGAACAGUAUUAUUAGUUGUGAACAAAAAUGAUAAGACAUUCUCAUAAAAACUUUACUGAUCUGCGGAAUAUUAUACCGCUUCUUUGUAGGCUAUUGAGGUCCCUGAUGAAAUUCUAAAAGUGAAACAAGAAGUUGAUGCUGAAUUUUUCAGCGGUGAAGAUCAGAGCUGGGGUCAUGCAGAAACCAGUGUGAGUUUUCGUCCGUCUAAUAUUACUUGUAUUUUCAAUGUUUAAGCGUUGAAGUUGAUGGAACUGUACAUUCGAUAUCAUCAUUUUCAAAUAUCUUUUGGUUGCAUUUGACUUUAUAAUGCUCAUAUUCUUUUUAUUGGUGUGAUUAGUUAUGUAACCUUGAAGUUAUUGAUCUCCAUAUUAUGAUAUUAAGUGUGUGCUUUAUAAAAGACUUCUAAUUUUUUUAUUUACCUCUUCAGUUGCCAGCUCAAUCUCCAAGUCUAGCUCCAGCUCAAAAUCGUUAUUCUGAGCCAGACAGCCGGGAUUGGCGUGGCCGUUCUGCACCAGUUCCUACCGCUGGAGAGGAACGGUCCUGGGAUACUCUUCGGGAGAAUAAAGAGUCUGGUAAUCGGUUUGAUUACAGACAGCAAGAAGCAAAUCAGUCUCAAUUUUCAAGGACACAGAACCAAGGGGUAAUAUAUUUUUAAGAACAGUGUAAUUUGACCUAUACAGUUUUUCCUCUCUGUAGUUUUGGUUUGUAUUUGUCUCCCGAUUAUCUUUUGUAUUGAGUUUUGCCUGAGGGAAUAGGUUAGAGUUUAUUCUCAUGCAGUUAUAUCCAGUGGGAGUAGGUUGAAUGUGCACCUUUGUUUGGUUCUGGUGUAUUCUACUGUUCUUUUUAACUUCUGUACUUGUACAUGAGGACAUUAUCGACUCAGAUUCUUUUCUGAUAUCAUUAGUUUCUCGUCAUUUCAGGGAGGGCCUGCUCCCACUUUAAUCAAAGCUGAGGUGCCAUGGUCAGCUAGAAGGGGUACUCUAUCUGAUAAGGAUCGCGUGUUGAAGACUGUGAAGGGGUAAUACAUUCUAUUACAUCUUGAUUAUUUGCUCACUAUAUCCCAACACGUAUAAUCAUGGGAUUACCUUUCUGUCCCAAGUUGUCGUUGUUUGGUAAUCUUUUGGUCUACUAUAUAGUUUUCUGUGAGAACAUUGUGCUUAAUGGCUUUCAAUUUAUGUUUUCUAUGCAGGAUUCUAAACAAGCUGACUCCGGAGAAGUUUGAUCUCCUCAAAGGACAACUUAUAGACUCUGGCAUUACGUCGGCUGAUAUCUUAAAGGUUUUUUUAUUUUUUGUUUUUUUUGUAUUGAUAUACCCUUAAUCCAUAUUUAUAAUGCUCUUUUCGGUUUUGUUUUAUUACUUCUGGCAACUGUACUCACAUUUUUCCUUGCAUUCCAGGGUGUUAUUUCACUGAUAUUUGAUAAGGCCGUGCUAGAACCUACAUUUUGCCCCAUGUAUGCUCGCCUCUGUUAUGAUCUUAGUGAAAAGCUUCCCCGGUUCCCCUCAGAUGAACCAGAUGGUAAAGAAAUCACUUUCAAGCGGGUCCUCUUGAAUAACUGCCAGGAGGCUUUUGAUGGUGCUGACAAAUUGAGGGAAGAAGUGAGACAGUUGACUGCCCCUGAACAAGAGAUGGAGCGUAGGGAUAAAGAAAGAUUGGCAAAGAUUCGUACACUGGGAAACAUUCGUUUAAUUGGAGAGCUUCUGAAGCAGAAGAUGGUACCUGAAAAGAUUGUACAUCACAUUGUUAAGGUACGUUGUGGAUUUCCUCCUUCACCCCUUUACUUGCUCAGCAAUUACUCUUCAAUAUGUUGUUCAUGGUUGUUUUUUAUGUGAAACAGGAGCUCUUAGGAUCUGAUAACAAAGUUUGUCCUGCUGAGGAAAACGUGGAAGCAAUAUGUCAUUUUUUUAGCACUAUUGGAAAGCAGCUUGAUGAGAAGCCAAAAUCACGCAGUAUAAACGACAUGUACUUCAGCCGAAUGAAGGAACUGACAACAAACCCUCAAUUGGCUCCAAGGUUGAGGUUCAUGGUUCGAGAUGUAAUUGAUUUGCGUUCCAACAACUGGGUUCCCAGGCGUGAAGAGGUAGGCUAUUGUAAUAUGUGCUCGACUUGUAUAUUAAAUUGCUAAUAUUUAACAAAAAAAAACUAAUUGUCAUCUUAUUUUGAAAUUUGAUUACAGAUAAAAGCCAAAACCAUCACUGAAAUACAUACGGAGGCAGAAAAAAAUCUUGGAUUGCGUCCGGGUGCUACUGCAAGCAUCCGAAGUGGUCGUAACAAUGUUUCUGGUGCUCAAGGGCAAGGGAGUACCAGCCCUGGAGGAUAUCCCAACAACCGACCUGGUUCAGGGGGUAUGAUGCCUGGAAUGCCAGGAACAAGGAAGAUGCCUGGGAUGCCUGGAAUGGAUAAUGACAACUGGGAGGUCCAGAGGACACGGACAAUGCCAAGGGGUGAUGGGUUUGGUGUGCAGCCGGGUGGUGGGCGUGGCCAGGUGCCGUUGGUUGGAAAAUCAACAUCAGUGAACACAAGGCUGU
Molecule: long non-coding RNA, 8037 nt
Filed under: Malus domestica (apple)
Lineage: Eukaryota; Viridiplantae; Streptophyta; Magnoliopsida; Rosales; Rosaceae
Source: RNAcentral